AAUAGAUACCCCGGUAGUCCACGCCGUAAACGAUGAGUGCUAAGUGUUAGAGGGUUUCCGCCCUUUAGUGCUGCAGCUAACGCAUUAAGCACUCCGCCUGGGGAGUACGGUCGCAAGACUGAAACUCAAAGGAAUUGACGGGGGCCCGCACAAGCGGUGGAGCAUGUGGUUUAAUUCGAAGCAACGCGAAGAACCUUACCAGGUCUUGACAUCCUCUGACAACUCUAGAGAUAGAGCGUUCCCCUUCGGGGGACAGAGUGACAGGUGGUGCAUGGUUGUCGUCAGCUCGUGUCGUGAGAUGUUGGGUUAAGUCCCGCAACGAGCGCAACCCUUGAUCUUAGUUGCCAGCAUUUAGUUGGGCACUCUAAGGUGACUGCCGGUGACAAACCGGAGGAAGGUGGGGAUGACGUCAAAUCAUCAUGCCCCUUAUGACCUGGGCUACACACGUGCUACAAUGGAUGGUACAAAGGGCUGCAAGACCGCGAGGUCAAGCCAACCCCGAUAAAACCCAUUCUCAGUUCGGA
This 524-nucleotide ribosomal RNA is filed under the name uncultured bacterium. Its description in RNAcentral is "bacterial SSU rRNA". It matches the Rfam family "Bacterial small subunit ribosomal RNA", at positions 777 to 1297 of the family's 1533-position model. The record is from RNAcentral.